UACAUACUCCCUCCGUUCCGAAUUACUCGUCCAAGAAAUGAAUGUAUCUAGAUGUAUUUUAGUUGUAGAUACAUCCAUUUUUGUGACAAGUAGUUCCGAACGGAGGGAGUACUAC
This is a non-coding RNA of Triticum aestivum (bread wheat), 115 nucleotides long. The record is from Rfam. NCBI's taxonomy places the organism in Eukaryota, Viridiplantae, Streptophyta, Magnoliopsida, Poales, Poaceae.